Molecule: long non-coding RNA, 1012 nt
Filed under: Zea mays
Lineage: Eukaryota; Viridiplantae; Streptophyta; Magnoliopsida; Poales; Poaceae
Description: long non-coding RNA (ZMAY_LNC005317)
Source: RNAcentral
UUUGACAAUAAGUUUCUAAUUAAAUCAUGGCUGCGCCUGGGCAGCGUUAUUGUGAGAGUGAAAGUGGACGUGCUGCUACUCCCCUCAUUCCCAACAUGUAUCAAGUACCUGCAUUGAGUAAUGCAAGAGUGAGAUGACACAUCUCAGCAAGUAAAAUAAUAUCAAACAGUUUAACCACAUAAGAACGUUGUUUUACCACCACUUAAUUCCACAACCUUCUUAUUACGAAGGUGCAACACGUAUACAACGUACAACGCACCUAGUUACCACACCUCGUAGGUAGAAACCACAAUAGUAACAUAGUAAUGUCACACUUCAUAUAUUCCUCAUGAGUGCAAAUGUCUGCAAAUGCAAGGAUGACUUCUGCCUUCAUACCUCUAAGGAUAUGAAGCCGCAUCGUACCCCUCCUCGGGCAACGUACGAUGCUAAAAAUGUACCGGUACGGUCGGACCAUAAGAUCACGACAUAACUUCAAAAUGCAAGAUGGAUGAUGCGAUGUGCAUGUCAUGCCUACAACACUUCAUAUAACAUGAUUCAAAAAGACACUUCAACUUCAUCCAGAUGGGAAUCAACCACAUAUAUCAUUACCAAAUUAUGAUCAUCCACAAUAUUAGACAAUUGAGAAUUAAUACUUCCAAACAAAUAAACUUCAUCAUAGAAUUCAAUGAUUAACAUAAUUAAAACUUAUGCAUACUCAAUGACAGGGAAUAGGAUGCAAACCAAACGGUAGCAACCACCACUGUAUUUACUUGCCUUUACCGGAAGUUCGGGCAAAUCCCUAAGUACGAUCCUGAAGUCCACCACCUUGGAUUCUCCCCCUUUCCUUCCUCCCUUCUUCCCUCCACCAAAACGAUUGAAGACUCGCACCACGACGACGAUGAUCCGAGCGGCAAGGAUUGGCACCUUGGGAGGAGGGGAUUGAGAGGGGGGCGGCUAGGGUUUGGUGGCUGCAAGAAUUGAGAGAGGAGGAGAUGGGCAGGGGGGCGGCGGCCAAGGGGGAAGAGAAGUGGGG